This is a long non-coding RNA of Solanum pennellii, 1890 nucleotides long. RefSeq lists it as uncharacterized. The record is from RefSeq and is a predicted model, not a curated record. NCBI's taxonomy places the organism in Eukaryota, Viridiplantae, Streptophyta, Magnoliopsida, Solanales, Solanaceae. The transcript has 2 exons.
AUUUUCCAGGGCUAAAAACAAGAGCUUCAUUGGUAUAGGGCUGGAGUCACCCUUGUUUCUAUCCCAUCCAUAGCUUCAGAACUCUAUCUUUACCACCAGAUGCUACUUUUUCGCCGUCUGGACUCCAGUCGACCGCGAAAACCUUCCAAGUUCAGAGAUAGACAAAGUUAUCUAAAAGUUAUGUAGAGAAAGAGACUGAAAAUGCCUGUGGCAGAAGCUUACCUCGUCAGCAUGGCCGGGAAGGUCUUGUUUCAAUUUUUUUGUCCGGAUAUCCCAAACCUAAUACAGACAUAAAUGGUUUUCUUAACGACUUGUUUUUAACAGGACAAGACCAAGAGUAAUGCAAACACAUACCUUCAAGGUUGAAUCUUUGCUCCCGCUCAAAAGUAGCCUACUGUCGGCUGACCAGCUGUGCAAAACAAAAGGAUAGUAACUAACAGUUGACUGUUGAAGUAAUGGAAGAUUUGAGUUUUAUGGCAAAUUUUAACCUUAUCUGAUAUACAGGUCCAACAUGACCUCUGAAUGCAGCAACAAAUUUUCCUGUGGUUCCAUUCCAUAAUUUUACUGAUUUAUCGAAUGAGGCACUUGCUAUCCAUUGACCAUCCGGAGAAAAAUAAACGUGAUUAACCAGCUGCAAAAAUUGAAAUUCAUGGUUCGAUGCUCAGAACAAAAAAUGAAGGCCGUGUUCACCGUCAAAGCACACAUGCACACGGAGAAAACCAUCCUUUACAGCACAGAAAGAUUGUUAACCUGUUGAUGACCUGUCAUGCGAGUUUUUGGGUGCUUGCUGACAGCAGGCUCCCAUAGAAACAUUGUGAAAUCAUCUGAUCCUGAUACCAACCUCUCAGGGGCAUUACCUCUCAUUUUGUUGUACCUUUCAAGUGCUACCUGGCAAUGAAACAAGAGCAAUGUUAAGUACUGUGUGGAUGGAGAAAUUACAAUUUGGAGCAACUAAAUAGCAUCAAAGAUUCUUGUUCUUCAUUUGCUCUUUGCCUCUCGUUGGUGUAUACUGUUGCCCUGUCACCUGCUAAAUGAGAAUAUGGGAUGCUUCGAGAUCCACAAGAUAUAGGCAUGCAUAAUCUCAGUAGUUAAGGAAAGCAUAAGGCAAAAGAUAGAAGAAGCCCUAAGUUUUAGGUUUAGACCCAGUUCAGUGAAAGACACCAGAUUUUGUUAACUUCCAUCUGAGUUCCAAGAGUCAAAACAGUGAGGUUCUUUUUCUCUAUAUGUUAGAGAGGCCCCCAGCUUUUGUACCUUUCUAUUUGUUGCCAUCGGUUUCCUCACAAAUCCUCAUAUAGUAUAUGCAGCUUAUGUUUUUGUUGAUCAACAAAACUGAAAAGAUAGAUUUAUCCUUUUUCUAGCUGGCAUCUCUAUUGAGGAUCUCUUCGGUCACCCUAGCUUUUUAGCAAAAUGUAAAAGGUAAAACACAAGGAGGCAAACAAUCUUGUACGAGUUGCUUAAUUGAGAUAAAAUCUCACCUCUGCAACUGUUUCAAGUACUGAGCUGGCACUCACUCAAAAAGGAUACAAACAAUCUUGUACGAGCUGAGAUAUCUCACCUUUGCAAAUGUUUCUAAGGACUAAGCUGAAUGAAAUGAGUUCAAAUGGAUAGCUAGGAUCAUAUAGCAGACACCAACGCGGAAUUGAGGAGUAUUCAUCAAUGUCAUACUGCAGCACUCCCAGACUGAGGAGGUCGUUGAAACUAGCCUACUGGAUCAUGGAUGAGAUGAGCUCAGCUUGUAUAUUUUUGAACAUCAAACCUUCCUGUGACUUCUCACUCUCACCAUAAGUUUUGAGUUAUUAUACAUAAACAUUUCACGCUUCCACAGCAGAGUAUCUUCAUAAGGAUGUAUGAGGAUGAAGUCUUAAUUUAAUCCAACUAAAGUUGAUAUAA